This is a long non-coding RNA of Ixodes scapularis (black-legged tick), 659 nucleotides long. RefSeq lists it as uncharacterized. The record is from RefSeq and is a predicted model, not a curated record. NCBI's taxonomy places the organism in Eukaryota, Metazoa, Arthropoda, Arachnida, Ixodida, Ixodidae. The transcript has 4 exons.
UCAGUGUGAAUAAAUACUUGCAGUGCGUAGAGAAAGCACUUCCAGCAGAAGGCCCAAAUCACGUACAGAGAGCAGAGUAAAGUUGGUAGGGGUGGGGACCGUCACCGUGGCAACCACAGUGGCAACCGUGGCUGACCGUGUUCGGUGGGGUCCGCCGUGCGCAGCAUCCGCAGUCUCUAGUCGGUCUCGUGGUCUCGUGUUCUUGGUGUGCUCGUGGCCGUGGUAUCGGUUUCACUGAAGCAUGGUCUCAUGAUUUGUUUGAGCGCGUCAAAACUUUCAAGUGUGCAUGCUUUUGAUCCAUGUCCAAUGUUCUGGGGACCGACCAAACUGUGAGCUACUGUAAACACAGACGACAGCGGGUCGCCAGACCAAAGUUAGCCAUCCUAACUGAAGCGGCCUUUGCCUAUGCGGAUGGGGUUGCCGGACCAAAGUUAGCCAUCCUAACUGAAGCGGCCCUUGCCUAUACAGCUGAUAGAUGACCCUCCAGUGGAAUCGUUUCUUUGGCUGCCUUUGCCAUCAGGCACACUGCAGCGCUUGUUCGUGGCCACUGCACAGAAACCAAGCGUUUGUUCGUGGGAACCCCGCCAAGUUUAUCAUCAUCCACCUUGCCCGCUGGUCUGUGCCACAGGUUGGGGCCAAUAAAAAUGUUUUAUACUUUA